UGUGAUCCUACCUCUGAGUAAAGAAAUAACAACACAUAUUUUAUAUAUGUAAAAACAUUUUAAAGCAGAUAGUUCAAGAUUUGAUAGUGAACUUCAGGUCUAUUAGUCUAUAUAAUCUAUAUAUAAAUAGGUGUGUUGUAGAAAAUUCUUUGAAGUUUUAUUCGUACCGUGGUGAAACACAAGACACAAUUAUCGAUGGCCAUACAGACAAUAUUUGGAAUCAGUUUGAAAAUAUAUAUAGAAAUCUCGGAUUAUUUGCUGCAAAUAUUCACCUAAUUCGUUUGAAAAUUUACCAAUGUAAGGAAGCUAGCAAUGAAAUUUUAGAAUGCUUCACAUAAUAUACGAUAUAUUCAAAAAAUGUUUUCGUAAGUGUUCAAAUAUUUUCGUGAACCACUGUAUGUGUACACUUUGGUUGACUUGUUUUAAUAAUGACACGAAUGUUACUAAAAUGUAUGAAUUAAUGGCGAAGUACGGAUCGAAAGCAACAUUUAUCAUUGCUUGUGGAAUCAAUAGACAAAUACCAUCUAACAUACAAAUUAUUUAUUCAAAACCUGAUUAAUGGUGUAUUAAAACAAAAUAGAUAAUUCGUCAAAGUGCUAACCAAUUUCAAAUAACAUUACUGGAAUUAAUUAUGAUAGCUCUUCUACCAAUUUAGAAGAAAUUUCUCUAUUUUGUUUAUGACUUGACAAUUAAACGAUUGAACUAAAGGAGUUUGGCAUACGA
Molecule: long non-coding RNA, 723 nt
Organism: Bombus pyrosoma
Lineage: Eukaryota; Metazoa; Arthropoda; Insecta; Hymenoptera; Apidae
Exons: 3
Source: RefSeq, a predicted model, not a curated record